RNAcentral lists this long non-coding RNA (1509 nucleotides) under Capra hircus (goat). RNAcentral's name for it is "lncRNA (ENSCHIG00010010825.1)". The record is from RNAcentral. Lineage: Eukaryota; Metazoa; Chordata; Mammalia; Artiodactyla; Bovidae.
GUACAGGAAGGGGAGCAGUCAACUGGCCCUUUCGUGUGACCCAAGAUUCUAGAAACCCGACUGGCUCGUUCGAUGGAAGCUAGAUUUCUAGUGUGGGCAGACCUCAUCUAAGCCCAAAGAUGUGGUUUUCUCUUCCCUCUGUCCAGCAAACAGCCUCCAACCCACAGGCUGCUUAUCAGUGGGCCCAUUUGCACAUCUAUUGGUGCUGGGCUGAAUAUCCAUGACCUUAAAAUGGGGUUUGGGGGUUUCAAGAUGAAAAAUCCCACAGAUCUCUCAUCGGUUUUCAUCAGUCAAGUGACCAGAAAGUAUAUAAGCAUGAGAGCAACUGAGGUAAUGACUGUUCUUGUUCUCUGCAGACAACAAAACAGAACAGAGCUAGACAUUAAAGUGGGGCUUCAAAUACAUUUAAAAGAGCUAUGUAUGCAUAUCAGUGAUGAGACAGGGACACGGCGAACUGCUGAGUAUGCUCUGGAGGGUCACUUUAAUCCAAGCAUCACCUCUCCACAGUGGAGACAUGAAGACAAUUCCUUACUUUGCAGAGGUUAAGGAUGGGGGCAGCUUUGGGAGUCAGCUUGAGUUGUCAUGUCAGCAAGGCCCAGCAGCAGCACCUGUGGGGUCUGAGUAUGACGUGACAUCCUGUGGUCGGUGGCACUGAGUGUCAUGUGAACGGGAUCCCCUCUGAGGACCCUACGAAGGGAGUCUCAAAACCAGCAUUUUUCUCCACUUGAUCCCAUGUCAUUUUUCAUAGUGUAAAACAUGAUUAAGCAAAGUGUCGGAAAAUCACAGGGAGUAACAUGCAAAUGACUGUGUCUUCCCACAUGCGUUCCAAGGGAUCAGUGAAACGAUCUGCUAGGCCUUUUCCAUCCGUAACAACCCUGCAUGUGUUUAACUUGGUGGGAAUCUCCUGGGUACAAGGCUUCAAGGAACAGAAUUUCUGAGGUUGAGUAUAUAUGGAAUACUAACAUGAUGCACCAAAAGAAAUGUCUGAGGCUGAUUCUCAGGGAUAAAAACCACCCCCGCUUCACCUCUUAUUUUUUUACAUUUCCAAAUGAUCUGAAACACCUAUCCGGAAACAAGCCAAAAUCCCUCCUAUUUUAACCUCCCUUGGAACACAGGAGAAAUCUAAACAGCUUGUUACAACUGCACUGCGGACAGAAAGCAAUCAGAUUCAAAGCAGCUGAGUUGGCAGAGCUUGGCAGAGGCGGGGUUAGGAAUGCUCCAAGUUUUAUGUCUGUCCUCUCCAUUUCUCUUGGCCCAAGAUGCUCUGAUUUUAUCAGCAUGAAGAUAUUAAAAAACACCUAUGUGUGAGGCAAGCCACAGAGCCUCCUCCUUGGGCCAAAUUCUGUGUCCAACACAGUCCCAAGUGGGCAAGAAGUGUUUCCAGGCACAAUCACCAGAGUCAAAGGUGGUCUUCUCGAAUGUGGGAAAAACUUCACUUUAAUUGCAAACGCCUUCAUUUAUAAGCACAUCCAAUAAUGAACAAAAUGAAGAGCUGUGACUUUUGAACAU